Molecule: ribosomal RNA, 253 nt
Filed under: uncultured bacterium
Lineage: Bacteria
Description: partial 16S ribosomal RNA
Rfam family: Bacterial small subunit ribosomal RNA
Source: RNAcentral
UACAGAGGUCCCGAGCGUUGUUCGGAUUCACUGGGCGUAAAGGGUGCGUAGGUGGUGAGGUAAGUCGGAUGUGAAAUCUCUGGGCUCAACCCGGAAAUGGCAUUGGAAACUACCUUGCUGGAGGAUUUGAGGGGGGAUUGGAAUACUUGGUGUAGCAGUGAAAUGCGUAGAUAUCAAGUGGAACACCAGUGGCGAAGGCGAAUCCCUGGAAAAUACCUGACACUGAGGCACGAAAGCUAGGGGAGCAAACAGG